Molecule: ribosomal RNA, 253 nt
Filed under: uncultured bacterium
Lineage: Bacteria
Description: partial 16S ribosomal RNA
Rfam family: Bacterial small subunit ribosomal RNA
Source: RNAcentral
UACGAAGGGGGCUAGCGUUGCUCGGAAUUACUGGGCGUAAAGCGCACGUAGGCGGAUUGUUAAGUUAGGGGUGAAAUCCCGGGGCUCAACCCCGGAACUGCCUUUAAUACUGGCAAUCUCGAGUCCGAGAGAGGUGAGUGGAAUUCCGAGUGUAGAGGUGAAAUUCGUAGAUAUUCGGAGGAACACCAGUGGCGAAGGCGGCUCACUGGCUCGGUACUGACGCUGAGGUGCGAAAUCGUGGGGAGCAAACAGG